GAGUUUGAUCUUGGCUCAGAUUGAACGCUGGCGGCGUGCCUAACACAUGCAAGUCGAGCGGUAACAGGUGUAGCAAUACAUGCUGACGAGCGGCGGACGGGUGAGUAAUGCUUGGGAAUCUUCCCGGUAGUGGGGAAUAACCAACCGAAAGGUUGGCUAAUACCGCAUACGUUCUACGGAAGAAAGCGGGGGACCGUAAGGCCUCGCGCUGUCGGAUGAGCCCAAGUCGGAUUAGCUAGUUGGCGGGGUAACGGCCCACCAAGGCGACGAUCCGUAGCUGGUCUGAGAGGACGACCAGCCACACCGGAACUGAGACACGGUCCGGACUCCUACGGGAGGCAGCAGUGGGGAAUAUUGGACAAUGGGGGAAACCCUGAUCCAGCGACGCCGCGUGUGUGAAGAAGGCCUGCGGGUUGUAAAGCACUUUUAGUGGGGAUGAAAAGUUCGGGGCUAAAAUCUCCGGAUCUUGACCUAACCCACAGAAAAAGCACCGGCUAACUCUGUGCCAGCAGCCGCGGUAAG
Molecule: ribosomal RNA, 522 nt
Filed under: uncultured Gammaproteobacteria bacterium
Lineage: Bacteria; Pseudomonadati; Pseudomonadota; Gammaproteobacteria
Description: bacterial SSU rRNA
Rfam family: Bacterial small subunit ribosomal RNA
Source: RNAcentral